RNAcentral lists this ribosomal RNA (301 nucleotides) under uncultured bacterium. Its description in RNAcentral is "partial 16S ribosomal RNA". It matches the Rfam family "Bacterial small subunit ribosomal RNA", at positions 509 to 807 of the family's 1533-position model. The record is from RNAcentral.
CAGUAGCCACGGUAAUACGGAGGGGGCUAGCGUUGUUCGGAAUUACUGGGCGUAAAGCGCACGUAGGCGGCUUUGUAAGUCAGAGGUGAAAGCCCGGGGCUCAACCCCGGAAUUGCCUUUGAGACUGCAUCGCUUGAAUCCAGGAGAGGUGAGUGGAAUUCCGAGUGUAGAGGUGAAAUUCGUAGAUAUUCGGAAGAACACCAGUGGCGAAGGCGGCUCACUGGACUGGUAUUGACGCUGAGGUGCGAAAGCGUGGGGAGCAAACAGGAUUAGAUACCCCAGUAGUCCCUGUCUCUUAUAC